GAUGAACGCUGGCGGCAUGCCUAAUACAUGCAAGUCGAACGAGAGGAAGGAAAGCUUGCUUUUCUGAAUCUAGUGGCGAACGGGUGAGUAACACGUAGGUAACCUGCCCAUGUGCCCGGGAUAACUUCUGGAAACGGAUGCUAAAACCGGAUAGGUAGCAGACAAGCAUUUGACUGCUAUUAAAGUGGCUAAGGCCAUGAACAUGGAUGGACCUGCGGUGCAUUAGCUAGUUGGUGAGGUAACGGCACACCAAGGCGACGAUGCAUAGCCGGCCUGAGAGGGCGGACGGGCACAUUGGGACUUGGGCAUGGCCCAAACUCCUACGGGAGGCAGCAGUAGGGAAUUUUCGUCAAUGGGGGGAACCCUGAACGAGCAAUGCCGCGUGAGUGAGGAAUGUCUUCGGAUCGUAAAGCUCUGUUGUAAGAGAAAAACGACAUUCAUAGGGAAUGAUGUGUGAGUGAUGGUAGCUUACCAGAAAGUCACGGCUAACUACGUGCCAGCAGCCGCGGUAA
Molecule: ribosomal RNA, 512 nt
Filed under: uncultured bacterium
Lineage: Bacteria
Description: partial 16S ribosomal RNA
Rfam family: Bacterial small subunit ribosomal RNA
Source: RNAcentral